CGCCCUUAGAGUUUGAUCAUGGCUCAGGAUGAACGCUGGCGGCACGCCUAACACAUGCAAGUCGAACGAACCUUUUUGAACUUUAAUCUCGAAACUUUCAUAGUCUCAAGAUAUGAAGCUCAAAAUCGUUAGUGGCGGACGGGUGAGUAACACGUUGGAACCUGCCCCGAAGAGGGGGAUAACUACCCGAAAGGGUGGCUAAUACCCCAUAUACUCCGAUUUAUUCGGAGGAAAGCUUUUGCGCUUCGGGAGGGGCCUGCGUAACAUUAGCUUGUUGGUGAGGUAAAAGCUCACCAAGGCUACGAUGUUUAGCUGGUUUGAGAGGAUGAUCAGCCACACUGGGACUGAGAUACGGCCCAGACUCCUACGGGAGGCAGCAGUGAGGAAUAUUCCACAAUGGGGGAAACCCUGAUGGAGCGAUGCCGCGUGCAGGAAGACGCUUUUCGGAGUGUAAACUGCUUUUAAUAGGGAAGAUUAUGACGGUACCUAUAGAAUAAGGACCGGCUAACUACGUGCCAGCAGCCGCGGUAAUACGUAGGGUCCAAGCGUUAUUCGGAAUUACUGGGCGUAAAGCGUACGUAGGCGGCUUGAUAAGUUGGAUGUGAAAUCCUGUGGCUCAACCAUAUGGACCGUGUCCAAAACUAUCAGGCUAGAGCAUAGUAGAGGCAAGUGGAAUUUGCGGUGUAGGAGUGACAUCCGUAGAUAUCGCAAGGAACACCAAUGGCGAAGGNAGCUUGCUGGGCUAUUGCUGACGCUCAGGNACGAAAGCGUGGGGAGCGAACGGGAUUAGAUACCCCGGUAGUCCACGCCGUAAACGAUGAUCACUAGCA
RNAcentral lists this ribosomal RNA (830 nucleotides) under uncultured bacterium. RNAcentral describes it as "bacterial SSU rRNA". It matches the Rfam family "Bacterial small subunit ribosomal RNA", at positions 1 to 821 of the family's 1533-position model. The record is from RNAcentral.